Molecule: ribosomal RNA, 538 nt
Filed under: uncultured bacterium
Lineage: Bacteria
Description: partial 16S ribosomal RNA
Rfam family: Bacterial small subunit ribosomal RNA
Source: RNAcentral
UGGGGAAUAUUGCACAAUGGGCGCAAGCCUGAUGCAGCCAUGCCGCGUGUGUGAAGAAGGCCUUCGGGUUGUAAAGCACUUUCAGCGAGGAGGAAGGGUAGUGUGUUAAUAGCACAUUGCAUUGACGUUACUCGCAGAAGAAGCACCGGCUAACUCCGUGCCAGCAGCCGCGGUAAUACGGAGGGUGCAAGCGUUAAUCGGAAUUACUGGGCGUAAAGCGCACGCAGGCGGUUUGUUAAGUCAGAUGUGAAAUCCCCGCGCUUAACGUGGGAACUGCAUUUGAAACUGGCAAGCUAGAGUCUUGUAGAGGGGGGUAGAAUUCCAGGUGUAGCGGUGAAAUGCGUAGAGAUCUGGAGGAAUACCGGUGGCGAAGGCGGCCCCCUGGACAAAGACUGACGCUCAGGUGCGAAAGCGUGGGGAGCAAAACAGGAUUAGAUACCCUGGUAGUCCACGCUGUAAACGAUGUCGACUUGGAGGUUGUGCCCUUGAGGCGUGGCUUCCGGAGCUAACGCGUUAAGUCGACCGCCUGGGGGAGUAC